UGCGUUCGCUGCCAAGAAACGUCUGCCCACAGAAACUGGAAUUAAGUGGAUGCAUGUCGUUGAGAUCACUCCCUGACCAACGCUGCUCGGGGAGGCUUCAGGUUUUAGCAUUGGAUGCUUGUCCUGAUGAAACACUAGUGAGUAUGAUACCUGGCACCGGGAGUUUAUACUCCUUGGCGGUUUCAAACAUCUCAAAUUUCAUCUGCCUUCCAAAAUGGCCUAGUCUCCCAGGACUCAAAGCGCUGUACAUCAGUAAUUGUGGAGAUCUUGAGUAUCUAACCAACCAAGAAAACAGGACAUUGUUCAACGGCUUCACCUCUCUUCAACUUCUCUCCAUCCAGAAGUGUCCUAAGCUUGUGACACUGCCAGUUGAAGGGCUCCCAACCUCUCUUCAAGUUUUGAUCAUUAGCUCAUGCACGAGCCUCGAGUCAUUUGGGGCCCCUGACGUGCUCAAGAAUCUUACCUCCCUCCAUGAUCUUUACAUCGAAGAUUGCCAAGCACUCCAGUCAUUGCCAGGGGAUGGCCUGCCAACCUCCCUCCAGCAUCUGUCUAUCCAAAGCUGCCCUUCACUGAUAGCACAGUGUGAGAAGGAAGAUGGUGAUUUGCCAAAGAUUGAAGGCAUUGCUGAUAGGGAAAUUAAGCCAUCUACCAGAACAGCAACCUCAUCAUGAGCAGCUCGGUAUCGUCUUCCUGGGUGCUGCGCAAGUGGAGGGAAGUGAAGCUGGAUGGAAAACCUGCAUGAUAGUAAAAGAAUUACAGCCUCUUUUUUUUCCCUUUUAAUUUUCCUGGUGAUGGAUGUAUCUUGUUUUAGAGGGUUGUAAUUUUUUUUUUUUUUUCCAUCUUUCUUUAAUGUACGAUAAUAAGCAGCUUCCUACAUCUAUGUUGUAAGGAGAUUGCCUGUAAGUUUUUUUUCGUCUAUUUCUUUAAUGUGUAAGAAUAAGCAAACCUUCCUACCGGUGUUUAUGUUGGAAGGAGGAUUGCCUGUAAGAUUUUUAUUUUUCUCUUUCUUUAAUAUGCAAUAACAAGCAACCUUCUGACA
Prunus avium (sweet cherry) is the source of this 1039-nucleotide non-coding RNA. NCBI's taxonomy places the organism in Eukaryota, Viridiplantae, Streptophyta, Magnoliopsida, Rosales, Rosaceae. The record is from RefSeq and is a predicted model, not a curated record.